CAAUUGUCUUUUAAUUGAGGACUAGAAUGAAUGAAUUUAUGGUUAAAUUCUUUAUUUGUAUAUUUUAUUAAAAUUUAUUCAUUAGGUGAAAAUACCUAAAGUUAUUUAUUAGACGAGAAGACCCCAGGAAUUUGAUCUUUUUUUAUUGGGGCGAUAUCUAAACAUCUUUAACUUUAGAUUUUUAAUAAAACGAUUUUUUUAAUUUAAAAUAAAUUACCCUGGGGAUAACAGCAUAAUUUUUUAUAAAGAUUG
Molecule: ribosomal RNA, 252 nt
Filed under: Succinea puna
Lineage: Eukaryota; Metazoa; Mollusca; Gastropoda; Stylommatophora; Succineidae
Description: Succinea sp. n. CAT-2020 partial large subunit ribosomal RNA
Source: RNAcentral